GGUUAGUUUUACCCUGCUGGUAGGGAACUCUUUACAAACUGGGGUUGAAUUGUUCACCCACCAACAGGGAACGUGAGCUGGGUUUAGACCGUCGUGAGACAGGUUAGUUUUACCCUGCUGGU
Molecule: ribosomal RNA, 122 nt
Organism: Lottia gigantea (owl limpet)
Lineage: Eukaryota; Metazoa; Mollusca; Gastropoda; Lottiidae
Rfam family: Eukaryotic large subunit ribosomal RNA
Source: Rfam